CAUGACAAUGAAUUACAGUAAUAAUAAGAAUAAAGUCUAUGAUUAGAGCAAAGUCUCCUAGAUAAAUUGAUUAAAUGAUCGGCGUCAAUGGCCAAAGGUUCACAUUUGGAUCAUAAAUGAUGAUAUGGAUAAAAAUCAUUAAAAUGGAACAAACAUGCCAUGAACCACUGCUAGUUCUCAGGGAUCGGCAUUGUAGAUUUUGUAGGAGGUGAAGAGCAAUGGAGGAAAGGAGCAACAUUAAAGAAUUGCAGACAUUUAGCUUUUUUACCCUUCCAAUUGAUGCUUGACUGGGGAUAUAACAGCAAGCAAGGGCAGCUUCGGGGAACAUAACAUAGGUUUUUGAUGCCUCAAUUCUUCAACGAUGAUUAAAAUUACUCACCUUCAGCAAAUGGUCCUAUGCAUUAGAAAAUCCUCAUAUCAAAUCCCUAUGAAAUGUUAAUAGACGUAAACUACUAUUAAAUUACUCAAGCUUCAGCAAAUCGUCCCUUACUUGUUACAGAAUCCUCAUCUCAAUUCUCUAAGAACCAAAUUUGCCUCGCUUAAAGAGAACCUAACAAGCCGUUAUUUUUGCAUUUGAAGAAUGAGUAUUUAAGAGUUGAAGUUUGGUAAUUGCACGUCUGGAAGGUAAGUUACUUCAAGUGUUAUACAAAAAGUGAACCACACAAUGGAUAUUCCCUCUCAAAAUUAAAUGCAAAGGCUAGAGGCAUGAUGGACCAGGAUCAACCAGAACUUCAGAAACUGUCAUAGUAAAAAUUUAAACAGAGAUGGUAGUAUACCUCAGAGCUGUCUCUCUACCAUGUCGUACCUUCUAAAUAUUCUAGCCCAUGAUUUAUAUUUGCCCUUUUAGGCUAUCCCAGCUUCUUAAUAUUGCUGCAGUGAACUUUGAGCAGACUGGUUUUGCACUCUUAACUCAAGGAAUGCCUAUUUAGUAACCCACCAUCAAUAGCAAUGACUCAGAGAAAAUUAGUUGUCAAAAAGGAUAUAGUUCUAAUAAUAUAGAUAUGUUGAGGCACUUAACAACUUUAAGAAUUUUAACUAGCUCAUGAUUGAGGAGAAGUGCAGUAAUGGCAUCAAUACCAUUUUUCCCUUAAGAAACAUUUGGAUGCUGGGAAUGGGAUCUUCGAAUGAACAACGUUGAAGCCAGUUGUUCAUAAAAUAUGAUAGGUUGUGAUAGUUAACAGGUUCAUGUGAAAGAACAUUCAGAUUUUUCUUACCAAAAUGAAAAGCACUAAAUCAAGGCACAGAAACAUUACCUGUGCACCAAAGAGGUGAGUACCGGCACGUUAAUGAUGGAUCUAUCUGCUGCUCGUAACAUUAAUAUCUCUGAAGCUUCAAGCAGCAAGGAUUGAAUUACAGUGCCUCACAUCUUAUGAUCAUGU
This 1379-nucleotide long non-coding RNA is filed under the name Nicotiana tabacum (common tobacco). RNAcentral's name for it is "long non-coding RNA (NTAB_LNC010288)". The record is from RNAcentral. Lineage: Eukaryota; Viridiplantae; Streptophyta; Magnoliopsida; Solanales; Solanaceae.